UGUUCCUGGAAAUGGCUAAUACAGAGAAGAAGCAGUCCAAAAAUCCUGGUGGCAGCUGCUAUGGGCCUGUAGGCUCCCUGGUGCUGUCCUGACUUCCCAGGAGAAGCCUCAGACACCUCUUUGGCCAUUCUGGGCAAUGGUAUAGGACCUUAUUCAUAACCCACGAGGUAACGGAGUUUUUCUGGGAUGCAGUCUGCAUUGGGAUUUGAGGGUGUAACACCUUACAGCCUCUGCCCUAAGUGUUCACAACAGCAAACCCCAGCCUCUUAACUCUGUACGGUGCAACAUGCCGAAGGGCUGGGCCCAUGAUCUGAGCUUGUAGGUGGUGUGUCAACAGUAGUAGCAGAUAACCCACAGAAAUACGCUGCAGCAGCCCCAGGAGGAGAGCUGCUUGUGUUGCGCCAGUGAAAUGGUGUCAAGGGCUUUUAGGGAACUGGCCGAGCGAACUGAACUUGCGUGUGCUUACAGCAGGCUUAGGAGAGAUGCUGAACACAUGCUGCCUGCUAUCAGCAGCCCUGUGGUUGCCAAGAAUUGCAGCUACACCAUUACGUAAACCAUCACACAGUACACAUUGUGCCGACAGACAUCUUGUUUGUGUGUGAAUGGAUCUGCGUAGGUAUGUGGGGAAGUUCACACAUUUUAACAGGUUCAUGGUUUAAAUUUAGUACCAAAAGUUAGGCUCUUUUAUAGCCUGAAGUCGUCACUGACAGACAGUAUUCCCUUCUUUUUUGAAAUGGAGGAAGAGAAAUGAAGGUGCAUGCAGCAUGAUAUAGCAAAUUUAUCCUGUUAGAGAAAGCUCCAGUAUAUUUUGUCUUUUUAACAGAGUCUGUGCUAACAAGGCCAAAGAGCAGCUCUGGUUCCCCUACCACACUAGCAGGCAUUUCACCCAUUUAACCCUUAGAAAACUGGCUGGGUUAGGGGAAAAUAACAAUACUUUUUUCCAAACCAUACCAAGCUCUGGGCGUGUGAUAAUUUAAUUCAGAGUAAAGCAAUUAGUCUGUAUAAAGAACUUAAAGUGUACCAAGUUGAUUUUUUUAAAAGUAGCUAUUUCUAGCUCAUUAAGCACAGAACCCUUUACACUCAGCUUUUUGACUGCACUCCUUCACUUCAGCCCAAUUAAGCCAGACUUUCUCAAUCUAGAAAGAAAGUAGAAUGAAACAAGGCCAAUGAAACAGCAAGUAUAGAAGUCAUUUCUGCUCAGCUUUUCAGGCUGCUGUAUGGUCUUUUUUUCUGUUAUGACAUGCUGAAAACAAUAAGCCACCUGAAAACUCUGGCUGUGAUUCAUUAUUUUCAAGAAAAUUGAAAAUUCUGUUAUAAAAUGAAACUUUCUCAGACUUUUUUGUGUGUAUGUAUCUUCAGACUUAACUUGAUAUUCUGCUCAGAAUCGGUAAAAAGAAAAAGGGUUCAUUAUUUGGUUAAAAAAAGGGACAGCCCUCCCAGCACAGAGCCAUCCUGGUAUAAUAGCCAGGCGCGUUGUAGUCAGUACGAAAGACUAAAACACCUGCUCGCAGUUGUAGCACAAUAUUUAUUUCGCAAACCAUUACCUAUUAUUUGAGAUAAAGCAUAUGCUCCUAUAGGCCUGAGGGUAGAUUAAAAUAUUUCAUUGUUAUGCUUAUGCUGCCGCCUGUCUUCUUCAAUAACGCCAAGCAGUGCUACAGUGGCUGGACUCCUCUUAAGAGCAGGCAGGAAGGAUGGAUGAAAUAUAUUACUCCAUGUCUUUAUGGCAAUGGAUGGAUUUUUUUUGUUGCAGGCAAAGUGUACUUUCUGCAUGGCUGGGGACAGUGGCAGAUUUUUUAAAUUAACAUUUGAAUCUGUAUUUAUGAGUGCAUUCCCUGAUGUCUAAACCCAAGGUCAAGCCCUGCCGUGCUUGACCCAGUCUCUCAGGAGAGGGCUUGAAAGGAUCUGCAAAUGGAGAGAGCUGAGACUUUCUGCUUGACUGCUCAAGCCUGACAGGCAUCAUGGGCUAAACAUUUACCUCUUCUAAAUGUCUUUGCCCUAAACAUCAUUUGCUAAGGAGAACCACGUGUUAGCCCACGGCUCUGGAGUGACUUUAUCCCAAACUGCAGAUAUUAACAGAAGAGCUUGGUAAGGCAGGCUUUUUUGACACCACAUGCAGCCUAAGGCUGUGGAUUUCCAACAUCCAGUGCGUGCCGCUUAGGGAGACAGGCGUGUUGAGCCGAGGACUGUGAAAACCACUUUGGAGUUGUUCACCUUCCUCCACGACAGAGCCGCCAAUGGCAUCAGCGCUCCUGACUUCAGGGUGCUGAUGGGACUUGAAAGUGCAUCGAUGCAGUCAGCCAGAAGGCAGCUCUCUCCACACCCAGCUCCUUCCACACAGGGAAGGAGGCAGCAAUGACAGCUAUUUGGACCUUAAUUUUUUAUCCUGAAUAAGAAUCGGGCAUACAUUACGCACAUCAAAUGGCCUGUGUUUUCUGUGGACAGAUUUUCAACUCAGAAAAGGUAUUUUGUAUGGUCUGUGCUCCACUCCCUCUAACGAAAAGCCUGAUCGAAGGUCUCACACCUACUACACAUCAAAAACUGGGUUCCUUUGGUCUAAAAUCUGUGGAUGGAAAGAUAGUGUGUGCUGAGGGGCAGUUACUCCCUGUCUCAGAAUGGAAAUAGCCCUUGAGCAACAAGAACAACAUGUACUGAAGAUUUACUGGGUGCUGCAAAGUGAAGUCUACGACAAUCAGGGAUAUGGCCCUUUUCUCGGUCCCUAGAGAAUACAGAAGCAACAUCAUAAAGCUUACAUCAAAGUCCUACACUAGAAGGGAACAGGAAAGCAGAAGGAAUACUGCUCACUGCUGGUAGCAUUCAGUGGCUUUGCUGGGGUCAGAUUCUGCCACAACACACCUGCCUGGAAGCCCCACAGUGAAGUUCAAGCCUGUCUGCAAACUCUAAGUGCAACUGAACUGGAUUAAAAGGUUUUUACAAGCAUAUGCAGUAUUAAAUGUUAAAUACACCAUGAUUAUCCAAGCCUCAAAGUGUGAUACGAUCCAGAUUCUUCUCUGCCUCAUUUAGCGUCAGACUAAUGAGAACAUGGGGUGCUGGGUGAGGAUCUUCUGAGCACCAGUCAGCCUAGUUCAUGAAAGAGCUCUUUAUUCUCUGGCAAAAGAGAAUCAGGCAGAGUUUGGGGUCCAGUGAGGGAAGCAGAGCAUGUGCUUGGUGGGAUGAUGAGCAACCUUGAAGGAAUUUUUAUUGUUUAAACUUGGGGUAAGGAUCUGCCUUUCAUGUCUGGUGCAGGGGAGAAAGGCAGCAAGUAGUGGAUCACAACAUACAAUGCAUGUGUGUAUUGUAGUUUCACACAGCCUAGAAAAAAUGUUUUUUACUGAAAACUAAGCUAACAUUUUCAGGACUGAGUAAGAAGUGUGCUUUCAUACACUGACUAGGGAGCAGGAACAGGGAGGAGCAAAGUGAUGUGAAUCCAAGAAAGUUUAGUUAGGACUAGAAAGAAAAUGCGCUGUGUGAGUAUUAAUGUUGCACUGGUAAGAUACCUCUAAUACGGCUCUGAGGACUUGGUAAGAGAACAUUCCUUCCAGCUACACCAGUGCCUACCUUCUGAACCGUAAACUUACGUUCCCAAAAUGCCUGCGGUUGUGACUUGCGCGUUUAAGUAAAAGAUGGUAACAGUGAUGCAGGACUUUAGUUCUUUUUUUACAUUAUUUUUGCAGCAUAAAAUUGCCUUAAAGAUAGUGAUAGCAGCCCUGGGACUGUCUUCGGUAGCGGAGGGGUUCUCAGCUAACACAGGCUUUCUGUAACUGCUUGUGGGUCAGUCCUCUGCUUACUGCAAGUAGAAUUAGGAAAAAUUGGAAGCAUAUUUCACAGGUCCAUACUGUAUUGAAUCUACACUUUUGUUCACUCUCACCUCAUUUCUAAUCUCCCAAGGCAGAUUAUUCACACUCACUUUUAUCCUUACAGUUCUCAAAAAUCUGCUUAAUUGUUGCAAGCUAGACUGUACAGUGCUUACGCCUAUGCAAGUAAUCAGGAGUACUGUGGAAACAUCUAGAGGCUUCCAGUAGAAGGAUGGGCUGAAGGGAGGGCUGUUCUGGUAGCAAUAUGCAAACACAGUUUAUGACUUUACGAGUUUUUAAUAUAAAUAAGGAAGGUGGAUGAAUGCUGGAGGAGAAAACAGCUGCACAGAGAGGUGAAGGAAGCUGCUCAAGAUGGGAAAGCAGGUCAGCAGAACAAGGUAUAUAUUGCCAUAUUUCACAACAAAGUGCUAGUACUUUCUGCUGCACCAGAACUUGUAUGGUUGCUUACUCAUGUGUGAGUCGCCCUGUCCUGCUGUAAGAUUUAAUA
Long non-coding RNA from Falco peregrinus (peregrine falcon), 4299 nucleotides. RefSeq lists it as uncharacterized. The record is from RefSeq and is a predicted model, not a curated record. NCBI's taxonomy places the organism in Eukaryota, Metazoa, Chordata, Aves, Falconiformes, Falconidae. The transcript is spliced from 3 exons.